RNAcentral lists this ribosomal RNA (465 nucleotides) under Vreelandella stevensii. RNAcentral's name for it is "partial 16S ribosomal RNA". It matches the Rfam family "Bacterial small subunit ribosomal RNA", at positions 338 to 795 of the family's 1533-position model. The record is from RNAcentral. Lineage: Bacteria; Pseudomonadati; Pseudomonadota; Gammaproteobacteria; Oceanospirillales; Halomonadaceae.
CCUACGGGGGGCAGCAGUUGGGAAUAUUGGACAAUGGGGGGAACCCUGAUCCAGCCAUGCCGCGUGUGUGAAGAAGGCCCUCGGGUUGUAAAGCACUUUCAGUGAGGAAGAACGCCUGGUGGUUAAUACCCAUCAGGAAAGACAUCACUCACAGAAGAAGCACCGGCUAACUCCGUGCCAGCAGCCGCGGUAAUACGGAGGGUGCGAGCGUUAAUCGGAAUUACUGGGCGUAAAGCGCGCGUAGGUGGCUUGAUAAGCCGGUUGUGAAAGCCCCGGGCUCAACCUGGGAACGGCAUCCGGAACUGUCAAGCUAGAGUGCAGGAGAGGAAGGUAGAAUUCCCGGUGUAGCGGUGAAAUGCGUAGAGAUCGGGAGGAAUACCAGUGGCGAAGGCGGCCUUCUGGACUGACACUGACACUGAGGUGCGAAAGCGUGGGUAGCAAACAGGAUUAGAUACCCGGGUAGUC